AAGUCGUAACAAGGUCUCCGUUGGUGAACCAGCGGAGGGAUCAUUACCGAGUUUACAACUCCCAAACCCAAUGUGAACCAUACCAAACUGUUGCCUCGGCGGGGUCACGCCCCGGGUGCGUCGCAGCCCCGGAACCAGGCGCCCGCCGGAGGGACCAACCAAACUCUUUACUGUAGUCCCCUCGCGGACGUUAUUUCUUACAGCUCUGAGCAAAAAUUCAAAAUGAAUCAAAACUUUCAACAACGGAUCUCUUGGUUCUG
This 260-nucleotide unclassified non-coding RNA is filed under the name Trichoderma sp. Its description in RNAcentral is "partial internal transcribed spacer region". The stretch from base 1 to 46 matches the Rfam family "Eukaryotic small subunit ribosomal RNA", at positions 1786 to 1831 of the family's 1831-position model. The record is from RNAcentral. Lineage: Eukaryota; Fungi; Ascomycota; Sordariomycetes; Hypocreales; Hypocreaceae.